This 253-nucleotide ribosomal RNA is filed under the name uncultured bacterium. Its description in RNAcentral is "partial 16S ribosomal RNA". It matches the Rfam family "Bacterial small subunit ribosomal RNA", at positions 524 to 776 of the family's 1533-position model. The record is from RNAcentral.
UACGUAUGGAGCAAGCGUUAUCCGGAUUUACUGGGUGUAAAGGGAGCGCAGGCGGCUUUGCAAGUCUGAUGUGAAAGGCCGGGGCUCAACCCCGGGACUGCAUUGGAAACUGUAAAGCUAGAGUGCCGGAGGGGUAAGCGGAAUUCCUAGUGUAGCGGUGAAAUGCGUAGAUAUUAGGAGGAACACCAGUGGCGAAGGCGGCUUACUGGACGAUAACUGACGCUGAGGCUCGAAAGCGUGGGGAGCAAACAGG